This is a non-coding RNA of Caenorhabditis elegans, 21 nucleotides long. The record is from Ensembl. Lineage: Eukaryota; Metazoa; Nematoda; Chromadorea; Rhabditida; Rhabditidae.
UAUUCCCCUUAUUUUUAAUUC